Molecule: long non-coding RNA, 381 nt
Organism: Perca flavescens (yellow perch)
Lineage: Eukaryota; Metazoa; Chordata; Actinopteri; Perciformes; Percidae
Exons: 3
Source: RefSeq, a predicted model, not a curated record
UGAGUAUGUGUUGGCUGCGUGCAGGAGUAAUUCUACAGCAGCUUUGUGUUGUCUCCUUCACGAAAAAGACCCGUCCCCAUCCUCCACCUCGGGGACAGCAGGAGAGACCUGAAGCCUUCAGUACAAGUCCAAAUAGGAUACAGCGAGAGACGAGGCCCUAGAAUGCAUCACUGUUGGUGUGCUGACAGUUGUCAGUGAAGAUAGUCCUCACGAAGGUCAAAGGAAAGUAGUAUCCCCUUGGGGGAAAGAAAAACCUUCCACCAAAACUGUUAACUCUGAAGAACAGUCUUCUGAGUUAGAACAGUAAAGAGCCAUCAGCCGUCAGAUAGCACUUUGUAAGAUUUGCAGCCAUUAAUGUUCUCCUGUUAUCAGUAGGGAUGG